CAGUAGCCGCGGGAAUACCAGCAGCCCAAGUGGUGGUCGCGAUUAUUGGGCCUAAAGCGCUCGUAGCCGGGCCGGUAAGUCCCUUGUGAAAUCGGACGGCCUAACCGUUCGGCGUGCAAGGGAUACUGUCGGUCUUGAGGCCGGGAGACGUCCGAGGUACUCCGGGGGUAGCGGUGAAAUGUUCUGAUCCUCGGGGGACCACCGGUGGCGAAGGCGUUCGACGAGAACGGGCCUGACGGUGAGGGGCGAAGGCUAGGGGAGCAAACGGGAUUAGAUACCCGCGUAGUCCCUGUCUCUUAUU
RNAcentral lists this ribosomal RNA (301 nucleotides) under uncultured bacterium. RNAcentral describes it as "partial 16S ribosomal RNA". It matches the Rfam family "Archaeal small subunit ribosomal RNA", at positions 459 to 759 of the family's 1478-position model. The record is from RNAcentral.